CGUAUUUAGCCGGUGCUUAUUCCUUAGGUACCGUCAUUUUCUUCCCUAAGAAAAGAACUUUACGACCCGAAAGCCUUCUUCGUUCACGCGGCGUUGCUGCAUCAGGCUUGCGCCCAUUGUGCAAUAUUCCCCA
RNAcentral lists this ribosomal RNA (133 nucleotides) under uncultured bacterium. RNAcentral describes it as "partial 16S ribosomal RNA". The record is from RNAcentral.